GUCCACGCCGUAAACGAUGUCGACUAGCCGUUGGGCCCUUCUGGGGCUUAGUGGCGCAGCUAACGCAUUAAGUCGACCGCCUGGGGAGUACGGCCGCAAGGUUAAACUCAAAUGAAUUGACGGGGCCCGCACAAGCGGUGGAGCAUGUGGUUUAAUUCGAUGCAACGCGAAGAACCUUACCUACCCUUGACAUCCUAAGAACUUGGCAGAGAUGCCUUGGUGCCUUCGGGAACUUAGAGACAGGUGCUGCAUGGCUGUCGU
RNAcentral lists this ribosomal RNA (261 nucleotides) under uncultured bacterium. Its description in RNAcentral is "partial 16S ribosomal RNA". It matches the Rfam family "Bacterial small subunit ribosomal RNA", at positions 793 to 1055 of the family's 1533-position model. The record is from RNAcentral.